CAUACGAUCAGAACAGAGCCAUCUGAGGGCGAGGGAGGUUCUAUUUCUGAUAGCUUGAACCCUAACAUGAUGCAGAGACGCUGAAAGGGACAUUCAAAGAGGGGAAGUGACCUACUCAGCACUUGCAGAAAGACCAGGAUGCAGGUGGCUGGUACCCUGACUCUAGCCCAUCCUCCACCCCGGCUCAGAGAGAACAUUCUAAAGCACAAACCUGGCCACCUCGCCACAUGCUUUAAAAUCCUCUCAUGGAUCUACAUUUCCUGAAGAUAAAAUCCCAGUGUCUAGACCUGACAUCUAAGACCUUUUGUUACCAGAUCCCUGCUCACUCCUUCAACCUUAUCUACAGCUGCUCCGCAAGACACAACCUGCAUUCUAUUCAAACAGGCGGCAGCCACCCACAGGCCCGUCUCCAUUCCUCCCCACCUUUAACCAGGCUCUUCCCUCGACUGAACGGCCCCGUCCUUGAUUAUCUCUCUCAUUCUUCAGCUCAGCUCUGGCCUCCCAGGCCCACCCCCUCCCGUCUGGUCAGCCCAGAUGGGGCGCCUCCUCUGGUCCUCCACACCCUCUGGCGUCACUUAUCACCUGGUGUCAGGAGUCUUUCUUGGCUUUGGAGUUUUUUAAGACGAGAUUCUCAGGAGAUUGGAAAGAUCUCAUGGCUUAGUUAAAAACAUUUGGAGGGAGAGAUGAGCAGAGCAAGGCACUCCCCACUCUCCUGUUGGCCAGAAAAAUGUCCCCCGGGCUGUACAGAAAAUGACUGGGAAGAGGAGGAAUGAGAAAGUCGCUGUCCUGGCUAAAGAGGCUUGCAUGCUCUGCUCCCAGGGCCUGGUGUUGGGACAAAGACAAAUUUCCCAGAGGGACAAUCUGUGGGAUCUCCGAGCAGAAGGGAAGGAGGACCCCAGGGAGGAAGGAAAGCCCCAGAGAGCAGAAGUGUCCACAUGGCAUGUAGGCGAUUGGGAACUUAGACGUCUCAGAGUUUCCCACAAUCCUGUGAGGCAUAAGAAGUAAUACAAUGACUCCUGUGAACCCCAUAAUGUCACAGAGGUAACAGAGUCACCUGAUCUGAGACAGGGCACAAACAUGGUGACCUGCAUGGACCAAUGGCUAAAAGAUAAAUGCCACUGAAACUGACAUUGAUGACCGGUGGCCUCCCUCCCAUCACCUUUGCACACCAAGCAUAGAUGUGAUUGCUGGGGAAUGGAGAGGAUGGAUUGACUGUGAUUCAGUUGUGAUCCAACCCGGCAAAAUGGAGGCUCAAAAUAGAAACUGAACUUAGUUCGGUAUAAUAAAGAAAUACAUAUUUUCUAUUUAUCCCACACCUGAGUUUGUAGACUGA
This is a non-coding RNA of Kogia breviceps (pygmy sperm whale), 1333 nucleotides long. The record is from RefSeq and is a predicted model, not a curated record. Lineage: Eukaryota; Metazoa; Chordata; Mammalia; Artiodactyla; Physeteridae.